UACGUAGGUGGCAAGCGUUACUCGGAAUCACUAGGCGUAAAGCGCAGGUAGGCGGUUUGAUAAGUCUAUUGUGAAAGCUCCUGGCUUAACUGGGAGAGGCCAAUGGAAACUGUCAGGCUAGAGUGUGGUAGAGGAAGAUGGAAUUCCCGGUGUAGCGGUGAAAUGCGUAGAUAUCGGGAGGAAUACCUAUGGCGAAAGCAGUCUUCUGGACCAUCACUGACGCUGAUCUGCGAAAGCUAGGGGAGCAAACAGG
RNAcentral lists this ribosomal RNA (253 nucleotides) under uncultured bacterium. RNAcentral describes it as "partial 16S ribosomal RNA". It matches the Rfam family "Bacterial small subunit ribosomal RNA", at positions 524 to 776 of the family's 1533-position model. The record is from RNAcentral.